GCCGGAAUAGUAUAAUAUAUUACAUUAGUCUUGUAAACUAAGAAUGGAUCUACCCCUUCCGGAU
Molecule: transfer RNA, 64 nt
Filed under: Boccardiella hamata
Lineage: Eukaryota; Metazoa; Annelida; Polychaeta; Spionida; Spionidae
Description: tRNA-Thr
Source: RNAcentral